RNAcentral lists this long non-coding RNA (401 nucleotides) under Columba livia (rock pigeon). RNAcentral describes it as "partial uncharacterized LOC102091628". The record is from RNAcentral. Lineage: Eukaryota; Metazoa; Chordata; Aves; Columbiformes; Columbidae.
GUUAUAAUUUAGCCAUUCCCUAUAGUAAGUUUUCCACAAUAUCAAAAGGAGGCCUUGAAUAACUCUGCUUUAAAAAAACCCACCAUAUAUUUAUUUGUUUGCCCUAUAGAGAAGAACAUUUUAAAUCAGGUGGAGAAACUUCGAUGUGUCAAAUUCAGCCAUACUCCUGAAUUAUUUGUGCAUUUUGGAAAAUUUUACGUAAGACUUCAAAAGGAAGGAAAAACUGGGACAAAACUUUCCUCUCCAGUCACUUUCUGGAAAAAAGCGUUAAGGAAAACUGGUUUGCAAUGGAUGUGUAAAGCAGCAAGGAGUAAGUGGAUUUCAGUCUCUGAAGAGAAGAAACAAAGUACUGACGGAAGCUAACGGACAAAGGAAACAGAGCUGAGGAAAGAUAUCUCUGC